UCAGUUUCUUUGCUUAGACUUUCUCUUUUGUCCUGCGUCUUUCUAUUAAGCCUCCAUCUUGUGCCAGCUUUUGGUGAUUUUUGUUUCCAGUUUCCUCCUUUUGGCUCACUUCAAUCAGCUCAGCUCAACCAUCCUAUUCGAAGCUUAUUGUUCAGGUAAAGCAAUCUCUCCUUUACUUAUUUGUUCCUCAUCUGCUUAGUGCUUAGUCUGUUCUACUUCGUUGUGUUUUAUCUUCUAUGUUUGUUAUCGUUUUGCUUAUUAAAUGGAAAUCAUCUCUUUCAUUCACGCUUGUUUUGUCUGCUUCAAGAAACUUUAGAUGAUUUGUGAUUGUUAUUGUUGAAUGUCAUGGAUAACAGAAUUUUCUUAAUUUUAGCUACAAUUGCAUAUGGGUCGGAAACGUAAAUUUUCCUCAGAAGAUGAAUAUCGUUUAGAAAAAAGCCGUCGUGAUCGUGCAAGAUAAUCUUGCCAACUCCAAAGCUGCUAGAGACCUCAUCCUCCAUCAAGCGCAAUCUUGGGGCAGAUUUCUCUGAAAGCACAAAGCAUCAAAAACUAAACUAGAUAAUUUACAUUCCAGUUGGAUGUAAAACAAAAAAUUGUACUUUUUGUUUACGAAUCACAGCAGCUUUCUAGAAUUUUGUUCUGUACAAAUAACAACUAACUUUUGUAUUAAGCUGCAAUUCCCAAUGAUCAUGUAUAUAUAAAAAAUGCAUGGUUUUCGA
Molecule: long non-coding RNA, 719 nt
Organism: Coffea arabica (coffee)
Lineage: Eukaryota; Viridiplantae; Streptophyta; Magnoliopsida; Gentianales; Rubiaceae
Source: RefSeq, a predicted model, not a curated record